Molecule: ribosomal RNA, 433 nt
Filed under: uncultured bacterium
Lineage: Bacteria
Description: partial 16S ribosomal RNA
Rfam family: Bacterial small subunit ribosomal RNA
Source: RNAcentral
GACGAACGCUGGCGGCGUGCCUAACACAUGCAAGUCGAACGAAAAGUCCGGGUCUUGGGUCGCAUGGGUGUGUAACCGGUGGGAAUAUGCACUUGUGGAUGGCCUAACAGUUGGAAACGACUGCUUAUACCGGAUGGUAACUUAUGUCCAAUGAUAUAUUGCCCAGGGAUGAGCCGGCGUAGGAUUAGCUAGUUGGUGGGGUAAUGGCCUACCAAGGCGACGAUCCGCAGCUGGUUAGGGAGGAUGCUCAGCAACACUGGGACUGAGACACGGCCCAGACUCCUACGGGAGGCAGCAGUGGGGAAUCGUGGACAAUCGGCGAAAGCCUGAUCCAGCAAUGCCGCGUGAAUGAUGAAGGUCUUAGAGUAGUAAAGCUCUAUUACCCGGGAUGAUAAUGACCGUACCGGGAGAAUAAGCCCCGGCUAACUCCGUG